UGGGGAAUUUUGGACAAUGGGCGAAAGCCUGAUCCAGCAAUGCCGCGUGUGUGAAGAAGGCCUUCGGGUUGUAAAGCACUUUUGUCCGGAAAGAAAUCCUUGGCUCUAAUACAGUCGGGGGAUGACGGUACCGGAAGAAUAAGCACCGGCUAACUACGUGCCAGCAGCCGCGGUAAUACGUAGGGUGCAAGCGUUAAUCGGAAUUACCGGGGCGUAAAGCGUGCGCAGGCGGUUUGCUAAGACCGAUGUGAAAUCCCCGGGCUCAACCUGGGGAACUGCAUUGGUGACUGGCAGGCUAGAGUAUGGCAGAGGGGGGUAGAAUUCCACGUGUAGCAGUGAAAUGCGUAGAGAUGUGGAGGAAUACCGAUGGCGAAGGCAGCCCCCUGGGCCAAUACUGACGCUCAUGCACGAAAGCGUGGGGAGCAAACAGGAUUAGAUACCCUGGUAGUCCACGCCCUAAACGAUGUCAACUAGUUGUUGGGGAUUCAUUUCCUUAGUAACGUAGCUAACGCGUGAAGUUGACCGCCUGGGGAGUACGGUCGCAAGAUU
This 549-nucleotide ribosomal RNA is filed under the name uncultured bacterium. RNAcentral's name for it is "partial 16S ribosomal RNA". It matches the Rfam family "Bacterial small subunit ribosomal RNA", at positions 355 to 895 of the family's 1533-position model. The record is from RNAcentral.